GCUGAAAGUGACUACAUUUGGA
This 22-nucleotide non-coding RNA is filed under the name Arabidopsis thaliana (thale cress). Lineage: Eukaryota; Viridiplantae; Streptophyta; Magnoliopsida; Brassicales; Brassicaceae. The record is from RNAcentral.